Molecule: unclassified non-coding RNA, 331 nt
Filed under: uncultured fungus
Lineage: Eukaryota; Fungi
Description: partial contains 5.8S ribosomal RNA and internal transcribed spacer 2
Rfam family: 5.8S ribosomal RNA (bases 1-133)
Source: RNAcentral
UGGUUCUGGCAACGAUGAAGAACGCAGCAAAAUGCGAUAAUUAAUGUGAAUUGCAGAUUUCAGUGAAUCAUCGAGUUUUUGAACGCACAUUGCGCCCCUCGGUACUCCGGGGGGCAUACCUGUCUGAGCGUCGUUUCGACCCUCGAGCCCUGCUCGGUGUUGGGUGGCCGUCCCCAUGUGGGACGCACGCAAAAGUGGUCAGCGGCUGCCAUUUGGCUAUCCGGCGUAGCAGAGCAAUAUUCGCUGAGGUGCCUGUGGCUGCUUGCUAUAGGCUUCGAGUCUAUAAUCACCCCAAGCGAUUGACCUCAGAUCAGGUAGGGAUACCCGCUGA